GAAAGAAUAACACACAAAAGUGAAAAGUUACCAAGUACGGUACAAAUUGCCAAAAGGCAGGACAAUUUUCAGUAGCCAAGCCACAGAAGGGAUUUGUAUGUUAUAAACAAAGGGACAACAGAUGAUUGUCGCGAAGCCUAUCUAAUACAUAAACAGAGAAACUUACUGUUUACUGUUUUGGUAAACUUGCCGACGAAAAUGAAUAUGGCUGCACAAUAUGGCUCGCAUAAGACACUGCAAUGCCCAUGCACACACUAUAGCAGAAAGGGAAGCAGAAAAGCAAUCCAAUUGAUGAAUAGGAACGUCAGCGAGUAUGAUAAGACGGUAACAG
This 331-nucleotide unclassified non-coding RNA is filed under the name Hevea brasiliensis (rubber tree). Lineage: Eukaryota; Viridiplantae; Streptophyta; Magnoliopsida; Malpighiales; Euphorbiaceae. The record is from RNAcentral.